Long non-coding RNA from Callithrix jacchus (white-tufted-ear marmoset), 5385 nucleotides. The record is from Ensembl. Lineage: Eukaryota; Metazoa; Chordata; Mammalia; Primates; Cebidae.
UCACACAUAAUAAUUGUGUAUAUUUAUCAGGUACAGUGUGAUGUUGCAAUGCAUGUUUACAAUGGGCAAUAAUUACAUUAGAGUAAUUAGCAUAUCUAUUACCAUAAACUUUUAUCAUUCCUUUAUGUAAGAAACAGCCAAAAUUCCUGCCUCAGCCUCCUGAGUAGCUGGGAUUACAGGUGCCCAGCACCAAGCCUGGCUAAUUUUUUGUUUUUUGAGACAGAGCCUCACUCUGUCACCCAGGCUGGAGUGCAGUGGCACGAUCUCGUCUCACUGCAACCUCUGCCUCCCUGGUUCUUAUAAUUCUCCUGCCUCAGCCUCCCGAGUAACUGGGACUACAGGUGUGCACCACUAUGCCCAGCUAAUUUUUGUACUUUCAGUAGAGACGGGGUUUCACCAUGUUGGCCGGGAUGGUCUCAAUUUCUUGACCUUAUAAUUCAUCUGCCUUGGCCUCCAAAAGUGCUGGGAUUAUAGGCGUGAGCCACUGGGCCCAGCCUGGACCUUGCUUCUUUACCCAACUUGCUACUGUGUGUCUUUUAAGAGGUGUGUUUAGCCUAUUUACAUUCAAGGUUAAUACCAAUAUGUGAGAACUUGAUCUUGUCAUUGUGCUGUUGCCUGAUUGUUAUGCAUACUUGGUUGUACAAUUAUUUCAUAGUGUCAGUGGGCUAUAUACUUAAGUUUGUUUUUGUGAUGGCAGAUAUCAUUCUUUCAUUUCCAUGUUUAGGACUCCCUAAGGACCACUCCUAAGACAGAUCUGGAGCCAUUUUUGUCACAUGAAGAACCAUUGCUGGGGAGCUAGUAUGGCCGCUUGGAGGGCCACACGGCAAAAGGACAACAGCCAUUGUCAAGCUAAGACGACAGCCUUCACCAGGAAUCAAAUUGGAUGGCACUUUGAUGUUGAAUGUCUAGCCUCCAGAACUGUGAAAAAUAAAUUUUUGUUGUUUAAGCCACUAAGUCUAUGGUGUUUUGUUAUGGCAGCUCAAGUAGACUUACUAACACUUAGAAUGAAUGCUUUUGGUGAGCAAGGAGUUUCUGUAUUUUUAUGAGUAGGCAUGCAAGGGAGUGUGAAUGAGGACUUUUAAUUUUGGAAAUAUGGGGUAAAAUGAAAUAUUUUUUCUUUGAAAACAAAGAUGGAGUUUAUCCUCAGAAUAUUUAUUUUGUUUAAAAUUUGAGGAAGACAUUGUUAGCAAAACUAAGAGUGAACAUUGACUUAAUUCUAAAGUCAUGUAUGAAUGUUCCCUGAGAACACUGAGGGUAGCCUGAUAGGUGCCAUUUGGUUCUUGAAACAAACCCCAGCAUUACUCCAAACUCUUAUUACCAAAGAAGAUUCUGAAUGAUCAUAAUUACCUUUUGUUCCAGGGUUAGAUUUGGGGGCUGCGGAGCAAGGCUGCCAGAGAGAUAUAAUUGUGUUGAAGACCUAAAAGUGUUACUGGUUUAAGUUAUAGUUACCAGUACAGAGAUGAUUAUUAUUAACAACUGUUAAAAAAAAACUCUUCAGAAAGAAUCUCAAAUGACACAGAGAAAAUUUAAAAGUAUUUAGAUGGAGUUUUGUAAUAAGCUAUUUAAAAUACAAUAUAACAUAGUCAUUGAUACAACACAUUUAAGAUAAGUACUUUUUAAUGUUUUAUGUAUUUUUCCAGUGACCCACUUAACAUUUUAUUAAUUCAUAAGUACUAUAAUAUAGCUUUUAAAAUAGCUGUGAUUGAACAUUUCAGUACCCAUUAAAAUGGUAAGUACUUGAUUCUUGAAAAUGAUAGUUAAAAAAUAAGCAAGUAUUUUAUUAGUUUUAAAAAUGUAAUUCAACUUAUAAAAAUAUAGAAACUUAGAUUUGUAAUAAUUUAACUUGAUUUAAUUUACAAAUUGUCAAGCAGCAAUGAAAUGGUGUGAUAUAAGAAAAGAUCAUACAUUUUAAUCAGUACUAAAUUUGAGAACCAUCACCACCAUUUUCUUCACGUACAUUAUUUAACCUCACUGUGUUAGAAUCUUUUGGCACUGUUUGUUCUAGAUACCAUUUUCCAAUAUAUAACUGGUGACACUGUCAUUACACUUUGAAUCUAGUCAAAUCAGAGGAAAAGUUUUAUUUCUUAUCUUUAAUGAAAAUUUUCCUGGCACUACUUCAGUCAAAGUUCUACUGUAGUCAGAGUGAAGAAAGGUAAACAGACACAAUGAGAAUAUUAUGAUGUAAGGAAUUUAAUUAACAAUUAGACUGUGUGCAAUUGUAAGAGGACCCUGGGAUGAGGAAGUCUGGUCAGGGAAUGCAAUAGAUCAAGGAGAGUAACUAGCCAGUCCUCCUGUGGAACACUGGCAGACUAAUUCAAACUUAGAAAGCAAUUGUCAAAGCAAAAAGUAUUCAUUUGUUGAUCUGAGAAUAACAAAAGUGGGUUUGUGUAGAAACCUGUAAAAAGUACUGCACCUGUAUAACUACUACUGCUGUGCGUUGGGAGCCUGCUGUUGGUAUAAUCAGCAGGACCAUUAGGUCAGAAGAAAAACUGGAUUUGGAGUAGAACAAAAAAACAGCUAUCCAAUACUACCUACAUAUAACAGUAUAGUGUCUGGUUACCAGAUGAUAUUUGUCACUGUGUUUGACUACAAAGAAUUGAGAAUAAUGGUUAUGCUUCAAUCAUCCAUUCCAGAUACCACACAAGUGUGUGUGUUUGUUGUUGUUGUUUAACUCUAAUCAAGGUUGUAUAGAAAAGAGGACUACAGAAAAUGCAAUUACCGGGUUAAUUAAGUUGAAAAUAGUGCAAAACAGCAUAUUUCCUAUUUUACCAUCUCUUUCUCAGAUCAGAUUACAAAUAGUCUCUGUCUCAAAGUCUCAAUUAAUUAUGGACAUUCAAUUGAUCAGAUUCAAGUAAAGGUAAUUACUGUAUGGGGUUAUAUCAUUAAACAUUUUAUUUAAUAUUAUUGAAAAAAUAUUGUUCAUUGAAAACAAAGAUUUGUCCUGUUUCCCUAAUUCAUAACAUGCUGCUCCUGCAAGUACACCUGUCAAUACACUUAUUUUCAAAUUUCUUUAAUAUCUGUUUGCAGUCUCUGAUUCAUUGGGAUCACCACUUGGAGGCAAGUUUAACUCCAAGAAUUCUCCAUUAUCCUAGAUAAUUAGGUAAGUUACAUGCUCUCUAGGUGAAAUCUGGGACAAUCAUGUUCUCUCUUUGGAGAGACUGGAAUUAGGACAAAGAUUAGCUGAGUCAGUCUCACCGUGCAUGCAAACACAGGAGCUCUGAAAGGUCAUGUUUCUGCCACAUAGGUCACAGAAAACUUUGGGACAAAAGAGUGAAAGAAAAAUAAUCAAUAUUGAUUUUCAGAGAGACGCAAAGACUGAAAAAAUAAUCUUAAAGUUAAUAGUCUCCAAUUUCUUCUUCUUCCCUAGUUCAUUUCUGUCUUCCUUCAGUGAAAAACAGAAUAUCUUUAUAAGAUAAUACUAGUUUGUUUCAGAUGCCUUAAACUGGUUGCUACUAAAAUUAUCCUGAUUUUAUCCUGAUUAAAAUAUUUUCUACAUUUAAAUACCCUAACUUAAUAUAACCUAGGCAGAAACCAUAGGUGAUUCAAGUCCUCUCCAUCAUAGUGCAUUAGUGUAGCAGCAGUGUCAAAUUCUCAAAACUGCAUGUCUUUCACAGCUUCACAAUGAUGUGACAAAAAGGCUACUAACUGUCCAAAGUAAAGCAUUUAGUUUCUUCUAUUUGUUGUUAAAAAUAAACUGUAGAUUAAUUAAAUUUAGUGGAGGUUAUUUGAGUAAAGAACAAUGCACAAAUUGGGGAAUACCCUGAACCAAAGGACAUUCAUAGGACAGUCCCCAGCAGUGUGAAUAGUGAGUGAGCUUUUAUAGAUCAACAAAACGAGGUUGAGAAAUUAUCUGAUUGAUUAAAGCCUAAUAUCUUCCUUAUUUGGGCUGGUGUGAUGAAUUGGCUACCUGUAAUUGGCUAAAACAUGGCUUCUUGUCAUUGACUAAAACUCUGGUGUUUUUUAUACUUCUUUGGUUUCAGUUUGUUUACAUACUAAGUUAGGUUAUAGUUUGCUAUGUAAGAAGUCAAGGUAAAAAGGCAGCCUUAGGCCAAGUGUAACUUCAUUUUAUAUUGUGAAAAAAUGCAAUAGAAAGGUAAAGAGAGUCAAAUCUGAAGCUAGUCUGCCUUGGUCAAAUUCUAGUUCAAUAUAAACUGAUCUUGCAUGGCUUAUUGUAUAUCUUUGCAUGUCUUCAAUUACAUUAAAUUAGAAAUAAUAACCUGUCUCAUUGGGUGGUUGUGAGAAUUUGAUUUUAAAAGGUAGCACACUUAUAAGAGUAUCUUAGAUCGGGGGAAGAAAAGAAGAUGGCACGGUAGUAGCAACUCAGCAACUCAGGAUUGCAGCUCUCAGUGAAGGCACAGAGGGUGAGUCCAAGCAGCAUUUCCAGACGGAUCUUUGUUGCCCACAGAAUGGGGAAAUUCCCAGGUGUAGGAGAGACACAGGAGGCCAGCACAGCCCGUUAGGCUGAUACGGCCGUUUCAGCCAGUGCUGCAGCACAGCGGCACUCCGCACAAAAAUGCACUGGUCCGGGUGCCCUGUUAAACCAGCAAUCUAAGAUUUGGGAGGGAAGAUUAGCAUAUCCAUCUGAUUAAACUGGACUUGGACAGUGAGCCAGACCAGGAUACUCCCGGGAAGCAACAUUUGAGCUGGCGCAGUGGGUUGCUGCACGGGAAAUCACACAGAUCCUGGUGCCUUAUCAGCAGGUGACUGAAACACCUGGGAGAGAGUCAACCGUUCAACUUAAAAAAAAAAAAGAAAAAAGAAAAUAAAAAGAGCUCUAAGGCAGAUAGUCAGGUGAUCAGGCUCGGCGGGUCCCACCCCCACAGGGACAAACAAAAUGGCGAUUUGAAAUGCUCAGGGUUGAGAGUUUCACUGUGGGCACAGCUGAAUCCAGAAUGGUGCAGCUUGGGGGAGAGGGGCGUCCAGCAUUACCGAGGCAUUCCGCCCCUACUGAGGUACACUCCCAUUGCUGACACAACCUGCUGAUGCUGAGACAACCCACCAUAACAGAGAGACUCUGCCAACAGGGCAGAGCCCACGAUGGCAGGGCGGAGCCCAUGGCAGCAGGGCAGAGCCCACAGCAGCAAGGCAGAGCCCACGGCAACAGGACAGACCUCACUGUAACAGGGAAGAGCCUCGGCCGGCAAAUCGUGACUAGAUUGCCUCCGAGCUGGGCAGGACAGUGCAAUGAAUAAGCAUAAAGAAAGCCCUAACUCCCUGAGAAACAGCAUCUGAGGAAAAAAAGGGGUUUUAUAAGUUCUGCUGCAGCAAACUUAAACAUACCUGCCUAACAGCCCUGAAUGAACAACAAAGCUCACAGCUCAGCACUUGAGCUCCUGUAAAGUACAGACCACCUCCUCAAGCAGCUAUCUAACCCCUGUAUAUCCA